CAGUCGCCACGGUAAUACGAAGGGUGCAAGCGUUAAUCGGAAUUACUGGGCGUAAAGCGUGCGUAGGCGGUUUGUUAAGUCUGUUGUGAAAUCCCCGGGCUCAACCUGGGAAUGGCAAUGGAUACUGGCAAGCUAGAGUGUGUCAGAGGAUGGUGGAAUUCCCGGUGUAGCGGUGAAAUGCGUAGAGAUCGGGAGGAACAUCAGUGGCGAAGGCGGCCAUCUGGGACAACACUGACGCUGAGGCACGAAAGCGUGGGGAGCAAACAGGAUUAGAGACCCCCGUAGUCCCUGUCUCUUAUAC
This 301-nucleotide ribosomal RNA is filed under the name uncultured bacterium. RNAcentral's name for it is "partial 16S ribosomal RNA". It matches the Rfam family "Bacterial small subunit ribosomal RNA", at positions 509 to 807 of the family's 1533-position model. The record is from RNAcentral.